AUGAUGUAUGAAAGGAAAGAAGGUUAGCACUCCCCUUGACAAGGAUGAAAGGGGCCCUCCAGCCUUUACAACGUGCAUAUGGCUAAGGCAUCUAAACAUGGUUUAAA
RNAcentral lists this non-coding RNA (107 nucleotides) under Loxodonta africana (African savanna elephant). The record is from RNAcentral. Lineage: Eukaryota; Metazoa; Chordata; Mammalia; Proboscidea; Elephantidae.